GUAGGUGGCAAGCGUUGUCCGGAAUUAUUGGGCGUAAAGCGCGCGCAGGCGGUCCUUCAAGUCUGAUGUGAAAGCCCACGGGCUCAACCGUGGAGGGUCAUUGGAAACUGGGGGACUUGAGUACAGAAGAGGAAAGCGGAAUUCCACGUGUAGCGGUGAAAUGCGUAGAGAUGUGGAGGAACACCAGUGGCGAAGGCGGCUUUCUGGUCUGUAACUGACGCUGAGGCGCGAAAGCGUGGGAGCAAACAGGAUUAGAUACCCUGGUAGUCCACGCCGUAAACGAUGAGUGCUAAGUGUUAGGGGGUUUCCGCCCCUUAGUGCUGCAGCUAACGCAUUAAGCACUCCGCCUGGGGAGUACGGCCGCAAGGCUG
RNAcentral lists this ribosomal RNA (371 nucleotides) under uncultured organism. Its description in RNAcentral is "partial 16S ribosomal RNA". It matches the Rfam family "Bacterial small subunit ribosomal RNA", at positions 527 to 896 of the family's 1533-position model. The record is from RNAcentral.